RNAcentral lists this ribosomal RNA (497 nucleotides) under uncultured bacterium. Its description in RNAcentral is "partial 16S ribosomal RNA". It matches the Rfam family "Bacterial small subunit ribosomal RNA", at positions 28 to 507 of the family's 1533-position model. The record is from RNAcentral.
GACGAACGCUGGCGGCGUGCCUAAUACAUGCAAGUUGAGCGAUGAAGAUUGGUGCUUGCACCAAUUUGAAGAGCAGCGAACGGGUGAGUAACGCGUGGGGAAUCUGCCUUUGAGCGGGGGACAACAUUUGGAAACGAAUGCUAAUACCGCAUAACAACUUUAAACAUAAGUUUUAAGUUUGAAAGAUGCAAUUGCAUCACUCAAAGAUGAUCCCGCGUUGUAUUAGCUAGUUGGUGAGGUAAAGGCUCACCAAGGCGAUGAUACAUAGCCGACCUGAGAGGGUGAUCGGCCACAUUGGGACUGAGACACGGCCCAAACUCCUACGGGAGGCAGCAGUAGGGAAUCUUCGGCAAUGGACGAAAGUCUGACCGAGCAACGCCGUGUGAGUGAAGAAGGGUUUCGGAUCGUAAAACUCUGUUGGUAGAGAAGAACGUUGGUGAGAGUGGAAAGCUCAUCAAGUGACGGUAACUACCCAGAAAGGGACGGCUAACUACGUG